UAGGGAAUCUUCCGCAAUGGGCGAAAGCCUGACGGAGCAACGCCGCGUGAGUGAUGAAGGUCUUCGGAUCGUAAAACUCUGAUAUUAGGGAAGAAUAAAUGUGUAAGUAACUAUGCACGUCUUGACGGUACCUAAUCAGAAAGCCACGGCUAACUACGUGCCAGCAGCCGCGGUAAUACGUAGGUGGCAAGCGUUAUCCGGAAUUAUUGGGCGUAAAGCGCGCGCAGGCGGUCAAUUAAGUCUGAUGUGAAAGCCCCCGGCUCAACCGGGGAGGGUCAUUGGAAACUGGUUGACUUGAGUGCAGAAGAGGAGAGUGGAAUUCCAUGUGUAGCGGUGAAAUGCGUAGAUAUACGGAGGAACACCAGUGGCGAAGGCGACUCUCUGGUCUGUAACUGACGCUGAGGCUCGAAAGCGUGGGUAGCAAACAGG
Molecule: ribosomal RNA, 429 nt
Filed under: Bacteroidota bacterium
Lineage: Bacteria; Pseudomonadati; Bacteroidota
Description: Bacteroidetes bacterium partial 16S ribosomal RNA
Rfam family: Bacterial small subunit ribosomal RNA
Source: RNAcentral